AUAUAACCACUGUCUCAAGGUAAUGCUAGCUUUCCAACACAUGCUUAUAUUCUAUCAGCACUUUUACUGGUCCCGAGCCCAUCCAUUCUCCUUUGCUUCUUUAAUGUGAAAUGUAACAUAUAAUUUGUCCUUUUUUUUUUUUUGAGACUGGGUCUCACUAUGUCCCCAAGUCUGGAGAGUAGUGACACUGUAACCUGGAACUCCUGGGCUCAAGCUGGAACUACAGAAGCUGACAGCAUGGCUGCCUUGUCAGAGCGCUUUCAUGCCAAGGAGCCAGGUGAGUGGGGAGGAAGAGUUUAAAGUCUGCUGGUUGCUCAGGCUACACUCUGGAGAUUCUGCACAGCCUCUCCCGGCCCAUUCAAGAGCAAGGCAAAAUCCAGCCAUUCAGGGACUGAGGAGUCCCUCACUCCCAGGGAAGCCAGUUAUUCUCCAAACUAGCAGUCAACCAGUCCCUCUCUGGUAAGUGCUUUUGUGCAUCUGCCCUAAAUGUCCUUGCUUGCUGGAUUGUGCAUCAGUAAUUAUAGUAAUUCCUGAAGAUGAAAAGCUCCUGGCCAUCUUGCUCUCCCUGCAGACUCAUGUCUUUAUCCAUAACCUGAAACUGUAAGACAGUCAUCUGAACUAUGAGCAACACUUUCAUGUAAAGAGUGUGUUCAAGCCCUUUAAAAUGGUUUUUUGAUUCAGUUCUCAGAAGUUGAAGAAUGGAAAGUGCCUACAGCUACAGUCCAAACCAGAAUUUUCAAGUACAGUGAAGGCGGGAAUGAUGGAAGUAGAGAGGCAUCCACUUGUCCUCCAGACCCACUUGAGGGGGAUCAUAUCGGAGCGGGAGAGUCAGUUCAGCCAAUGUUUGUGAAAAUAAUCCUUGGAGGGGUCUGAUCUUCCCACCAUGCUUCUUCUAAGAGAACCUUAUGAAAAACUCAACUUCCUACAAACUGGGCAGAUAGAGGCUGAUCAGCUGAGACACAAAGUGGCUUUGCCAUGUGUGACCCAUGGCCUGGCAGCACUGGAGCAGCUGUCCACUGCAGCAGGAGCCUUCUCUCCCUACAGUCACCAAUAAGGAUGACCUUUGGUCAAAAUCCAGGCUAGUGAUGACCUAUAGUGUGUGGAGUUGGCUGUGUUUUAACCUCAGUGGAAACAUACUGAAUUUCAAUGAGUAAAGGGGAGAGUAACAUCACACAAGCCAAGAGCCUGAGACCUUGUCUACCAGAGGGAGGGCACCUCCAUUACAGAGAGCAAAAUUCUCCCAUGGCCAG
This 1250-nucleotide long non-coding RNA is filed under the name Homo sapiens (human). RNAcentral describes it as "HSALNT0136818". Lineage: Eukaryota; Metazoa; Chordata; Mammalia; Primates; Hominidae. The record is from RNAcentral.